This 780-nucleotide ribosomal RNA is filed under the name uncultured bacterium. RNAcentral describes it as "bacterial SSU rRNA". It matches the Rfam family "Bacterial small subunit ribosomal RNA", at positions 8 to 796 of the family's 1533-position model. The record is from RNAcentral.
AGAGUUUGAUCAUGGCUCAGAACGAACGUUGGCGGCGUGGAUUAGGCAUGCAAGUCGAACGAAUCCCUGAGGGCUUGCUUUCAGGGGAAAGUGGCGAAAGGGGCAGUAAGGCGUGGGUAACCUACCCUGGGGACUGGGAUAGCCCUCCUAACGGAGGGGUAAUACCGGGCGAUGUCGUCGGGGCGCAUGUUCUGGCGAUGAGAUGAAUUUCGCCUCGGGAGGGGCUCACGUAGUAUUAGCUAGUUGGUAGGGUAACGGCCUACCAAGGCAAAGAUGCUUAGCGGGUGUGAGAGCACGACCCGCGCCACUGGCACUGAGACACUGGCCAGACUCCUACGGGAGGCUGCAGUCGAGGAUCUUCGGCAAUGGGCGCAAGCCUGACCGAGCGACGCCGCGUGAGCGAUGAAGGCCUUCGGGUUGUAAAGCUCUUUAGCAGGGGAGGAAGCCGAAAGGUUGACCUAUCCUGAAAAUAAGCACGGGCUAAGUUCGUGCCAGCAGCCGCGGUAAGACGAACCGUGCGAACGUUGUUCGGAAUCACUGGGCUUAAAGGGCGCGUAGGCGGGCUGUCAAGUCCGGGGUGAAAUCUUUCGGCUUAACCGGAAAAGUGCCUCGGAUACUGGCAGUCUUGAGGGAGGUAGGGGUAUGUGGAACUUCCGGUGGAGCGGUGAAAUGCGUUGAUAUCGGAAGGAACGCCGGUGGCGAAAGCGACGUACUGGACCUCUUCUGACGCUGAGGCGCGAAAGCUAGGGGAGCGAACGGGAUUAGAUACCCCCGUAGUCC